GCAUAUCAAUAAGCGGAGGAAAAGAAACCAACAGGGAUUGCCUCAGUAACGGCGAGUGAAGCGGCAAGAGCUCAAAUUUGAAAUCUGGCCCCUCCGGGGUCCGAGUUGUAAUUUGCAGAGGAUGCUUCGGAUACGGCCCCCGUCUAAGUGCCCUGGAACGGGCCGUCGGAGAGGGUGAGAAUCCCGUCUGGGACGGGGUGCCCGUGUCCGUGUGAAGCUCCUUCGACGAGUCGAGUUGUUUGGGAAUGCAGCUCUAAAUGGGUGGUAAAUUUCAUCUAAAGCUAAAUAUUGGCCGGAGACCGAUAGCGCACAAGUAGAGUGAUCGAAAGAUGAAAAGCACUUUGAAAAGAGAGUUAAACAGCACGUGAAAUUGUUGAAAGGGAAGCGCUUGCGACCAGACUCGCCUGCGGGGUUCAGCCGGGAUUCGUCCCGGUGUACUUCCCCGCAGGCGGGCCAGCGUCGGUUUGGGCGGUCGGUCAAAGGCCUCCGGAAUGUAUCGCCCUCCGGGGCGUCUUAUAGCCGGAGGUGCAAUGCGGCCUGCCCGGACCGAGGAACGCGCUUCGGCACGGACGCUGGCAUAAUGGUCGUAAGCGACCCGUCUUGAAACACGGACCAAGGAGUCUAACAUCUACGCGAGUGUUCGGGUGUCAAACCCGUGCGCGCAGUGAAAGCGAACGGAGGUGGGAACCCCUCGGGGUGCACCAUCGACCGAUCCUGAUGUCUUCGGAUGGAUUUGAGUAGGAGCGUAGCUGUUGGGACCCGAAAGAUGGUGAACUAUGCCUGAAUAGGGCGAAGCCAGAGGAAACUCUGGUGGAGGCUCGCAGCGGUUCUGACGUGCAAAUCGAUCGUCGAAUUUGGGUAUAGGGGCGAAAGACUAAUCGAAACCAUCUGGUAGCUGGGUCUGCGAG
RNAcentral lists this ribosomal RNA (908 nucleotides) under Hamigera avellanea. Its description in RNAcentral is "LSU rRNA". It matches the Rfam family "Eukaryotic large subunit ribosomal RNA", at positions 38 to 963 of the family's 3401-position model. Lineage: Eukaryota; Fungi; Ascomycota; Eurotiomycetes; Eurotiales; Aspergillaceae. The record is from RNAcentral.